GGGGCUUUAGCUCAGCUGGGAGAGCGGUUGCUUUGCAAGCAUCAGGUCAUCGGUUCGAUCCCGAUAAGCUCCACCACUUGCCAUCA
RNAcentral lists this transfer RNA (86 nucleotides) under Nocardioides sp. SP12. Its description in RNAcentral is "tRNA-Ala". The stretch from base 1 to 73 matches the Rfam family "tRNA". From Rfam's summary of the family: Transfer RNA (tRNA) molecules are approximately 80 nucleotides in length. Lineage: Bacteria; Bacillati; Actinomycetota; Actinomycetes; Propionibacteriales; Nocardioidaceae. The record is from RNAcentral.